CUUGGGGUUAGGCUGGGCAUCAGUCAGUGGGUGGUCUCCCCUAUGAGGAACGAUGGCUGCUGCAGCAUGUUUAUUUAAGUACCAUGCUUAAACUAGACUUUAGCUCUCACGUGACUCACUAGAUCAGUUUUCAUUGCCCCUGGCUCUUUUUUAUUAUUUACCUUGCUUCUGAAGUUUCUUGUAAGGAGAUUAGAAUCCUUUACCAAAAAAAUACAGUGAGUUUGGGGCUCAUUUAAAAUGCAGUUAUUCACCCUGCAAGGGAAGGAUGAAUAACUUGGUGGCUGAGUGACAAACCAGUUUUAUUACCUCCCACCUGACACUGGCCAAGUUGAUCAUGUCUUAUCCAGAGCAGGACAAAGGCAGAACAGGUGAUGGUAGAAAUAGGUAGAAUAGAUAGAAAAGGUGAUGGAGGAGAUGUAGAAAGAAACAUGAUAAUCUGAAUGCUCUGACAACAAAUCUUCCUCAAAAUUGGAUGCAUGACCUGAGAAAACUUGCAUUCAAUUCAUGGGUGGUACAUGGAACUUCUAGCUCCCGUUGACUCCAGUGAAGUCUUAGAAAGGUCAAGAAGGCCUGAGCCUUGCAGAGAAAUCUAACCAUGCCCAGGCAUAAAGCUACAUCCCAACAUCUUUGCCCACGGACCUGGGGCAGCAGCGAUCCUGUUUCCUUUGCAGAACAGUCAAUGAAUUCCACAGCCAGCGUUUAGAUAGCAUUUAGAUACCUACCAGUGCAACGAGUGUGCAUCUCACUGCCCUCCUCUGCCAGUGAAUGUCCCCUUUGUAAUAACACCUGAUGCAUUAUAAUCCUUAUUUCAUACUACACAUACUACAAACUCUUCUGAUUUUGCUUGCAAUCCAGUAUUUUAUUUUCUACACUUCAUUAGCUUACAGGGAGAAAAAAAAAUGUUGACUGUAUUUCAUUUCCUGCUCAGUGCUGUUGCCUGUAGGCAAGAGACUGAUGGCAGAUCUACAAUGCCAGAUCAAAAUGAAAGGACAGAUCUGAAUUUAAAUUAUUUAAAGUAGUGUUCAAAAAUGGGCUCUCCCUGCUACAAUCUGUAUUAACAAUUAUACAAUUACACUGAUGCAAUGGUAGCUCUCAAAGAAAAGCAUGAGAUUCAUGAUGGGAACAAAAGCUGCUCAUCAGUCUACCAAAGUCAUGAAAUUCUAUUGCAAAGGAGAUAAGAAUGAUCACUAAUCUUAUGAUUUUCAUAGUAGCUCUCCUAAAAUAGCAAUCACUUUCAGUAGGUAAAUAAGAUUUGGCCUUCCAGGAGAUAAGAAAAAAAUGUUGAAGCUAGGCUAAUGAAAAGCCAAAUGGAGUGCUGUGUUUGCCAUGACCUUUUUUGUAACCUGUCAUCAUCCUUGCAGGUCUAUCUGUAGUUGAGCUCUAAGACCCUUAGGCAGGGAAAUUGUUAACUCAUUAGAGAACGUUCCAUCUUUGUUCUAGAAUCUGUAUAAUGCUCAGCAAAAGCAACCUUAAUCCCCUUAAUACAAAUAAAAAUAAAUAAAGGUAUAAUAGUAAUGUGGGGUUGGAAGGGACUUCAAAGAACCAGUAGUCUAUCUCUUGCUUUGAGGAAGAAUUAAAUGUGCCUAUGCUAUCCAUGACAAGUUUGUCCAGACAGUUCCUAAAAUGGACCUCUCUCUUUGAGAAAAAAAUGGGAUUUUUCAUUUACUCUCUGAAGUCUGUCUCACUGCCUAGCUCUUCACAUAUUUAAAAAGUGUUUCCAAUAUAUAUUUAGAGGGCCUACACAAGGGGAAAUACUAAUUAUGACAAAAUAUAUUUAGUGUUUUGUUUUUUUCUUGGUCAUGAUGACUGUGAUACACAUGCUGCUAAGGCAAAGAGAGCCCCAAGUUUCAGCAGAACAGCUUCAGAACACAUUAUAUCUGCACAAUCAGAAUGUUUCUAAUGUCAGUGCCUGGUUUCAUAUGCAGCUAUCACACACUAAAUUACAUUGAAAAUGCAGUUAAGUAACUCAGAAGUAAGACUACAUGAAAUCUCAGUCAGAAAUACAAUAAAAUAUCAUGAGUGUUUUCUCUCCUGUCCUUCCCCAAAGUCUGCAUACACAAUGUGCUCCCUCUGUUCUGUUCUGGAGGACAACGACAUUUUUUGUCACAGUAAAGAAAAUCAUUUAUUUUGUUUACAUAGGUAGCGUGUCCUAGUCCAUGAUUUCAUUGUUACUAAUGUCUACCUUUGGAAUUGCAACAUGAAAGAGUAUCAAACUAUAAAAGCUUCAAUAUGUUUAUUUUAUUGUUGUUGUUUUGUUUGAUGGUGUGUUUAUUUGUUUUUAAUAUGAAUCUAUAUUGGAAAAAUAUUCCGUGAAAUAACCCACUGUAGAACAAUAUUUUGCUUUUUUCACUUGGAGUCCAUUCAACACAAACAUAAAUGUCUUACUGAUAGUUUGGAGGAUAUUCUUUGUAAAUUUAGGUUAGCAAAACCCAAAAUUAUGUGUUGACAGACAGGAAAAGCUAUGUCUAGAUAGGACUGGUGAACAUGUAGACAUAACUGAGCUAACUCUAAUCUUCUAAUCAUAUACUUAAUUCCUGUAUUGAUGGCAGAAAACCUAACAGAACAUUGGUUUUGCUGUGAGCAAAAACCAAACUCAAGUGCAAGCACAAUGUGCAAGCAUAAUUUUGAGCAAGCAGUAUUAUGCUUGCACAAAAACCUGAGCACUGACUUGGCAGCUGUAUCCUAUGGUAUGCAGUUUUAAAUUAAAACUAGCUUGCUAUGUCUUACAUGUGCUACAAUCAAACUUCAGUCUGAAGCCUCCAUAUAGCCUAAAUAGAAGCAGCAAUGCAUACUUCACACUUAGAAAUGGUCUUCCAGCUCUGGCCAUCUGUGGGACAGAUGUGCAACACUCUUCUCACAUCCAUAUCAAAAACAAUUUCAGACCAACCUUCCUGUUGUGCUUCUUCUCAAUGACCCAUUUCCAGAUCUCACUGAUGGUAGCAGUCAUUUUGCAUGUUUUGCUUUGCACCCAUUUUCACCCAUCCUGUGCCUAGAACUCCCCCUUGGCUCUCUUGGCAAUGUCCCUGAUGGGCAUAGAAGUGAACAGGCAGGAAGAUGACAACUGUGGCACUGAAAUGAAUGUGUUUCUACUAAAAUGGGAAAGCAGUGCAAACCAUGAGAGUGUGUUAAAUUUGAUCACAAGAGCUGUUGGAACAGGAAAAUCCUGGACUGUCAACAUACUUUGGGAUCUUGUCAGGUUUUAUCAAACAGGCCCAUAAUCCCUUCACCACUAUGAGAACCAAAUGCACAUCCUAUUGCACUAAUAAUCUAGAACUGACUACAAGUUAAUUGAAAAUAAAACAUAAGUCUUUAGUGCACUUUGCUGUGUGCAUUUGCAUAACCACUCUCCUCCCCCCCCUCCCCCCCCCCCCAAAGCUACUAUUUUUAUAAUAUGAUCAAAAUGCUGUAGAGAAGAAAACACAUCAGGGUGCUCUGCCAUCAUAUAAAAUGUUUUUCACAACAUAAAGUACUCAUCCAGUGCUCCACACAGUUGCUAGACUUCACUUUCAGAUGAGAAACUUCUGCAUGGAGAUGAUUCUCCACAACAUCCAUUGGCCCUUCCAGCAAGCAAUACCUACCACAUGGCACCCAGUAUGGACUGAAAAGCAGAGGAGGGCAUGGGUCGGUGAAGCUGGAGCCUCACAGUGUUACCAUUUAAAAGAAGAAAAUGUGCUGCUUUUUUUCUGAUAAUAUUUGAGUCAGAGCACUGCAUAUUAUUACCCUACAAACUACCCUGCCGCUCUUUCUGUAGCUGUAAAAUGAAAUUAGAACCUGUGGAGAAGGGGGGGUCUAACAUAGCUCAUUGUGAUUACGUGCAUUUCGCCUAACAUGUGUCCUCAAAUCUUCUGGUGAAAGUAAUUAUGAAAGUGAAAUAUGCGGUAAUAUGUGAUGACAAGUGCUUGUUUUCCUGCUCAGUCAUUGCAGCUCUAGUGUGGGAAUACUGAGUGCCAUUUUCAUAUAAAUAUCUUGCUGUAACUUUGUUGUUGCUAAUAAUAAUAAUAAAUG
Anas platyrhynchos (mallard) is the source of this 4005-nucleotide long non-coding RNA. RefSeq lists it as uncharacterized. The record is from RefSeq and is a predicted model, not a curated record. NCBI's taxonomy places the organism in Eukaryota, Metazoa, Chordata, Aves, Anseriformes, Anatidae.